AACGAACGCUGGCGGCAUGCCUAACACAUGCAAGUCGAACGAGACCUUCGGGUCUAGUGGCGCACGGGUGCGUAACGCGUGGGAACCUGCCUUUAGGUUCGGAAUAACUCAGAGAAAUUUGAGCUAAUACCGGAUGAUGUCUUCGGACCAAAGAUUUAUCGCCUUUAGAUGGGCCCGCGUUGGAUUAGCUAGUUGGUGGGGUAAGGCCUACCAAGGCGACGAUCCAUAGCUGGUCUGAGAGGAUGAUCAGCCACACUGGGACUGAGACACGGCCCAGACUCCUACGGGAGGCAGCAGUGGGGAAUAUUGGACAAUGGGCGAAAGCCUGAUCCAGCAAUGCCGCGUGAGUGAUGAAGGCCUUAGGGUUGUAAAGCUCUUUUACCCGAGAUGAUAAUGACAGUAUCGGGAGAAUAAGCGCCGGCUAACUCCGUG
This 432-nucleotide ribosomal RNA is filed under the name uncultured bacterium. RNAcentral describes it as "partial 16S ribosomal RNA". It matches the Rfam family "Bacterial small subunit ribosomal RNA", at positions 29 to 507 of the family's 1533-position model. The record is from RNAcentral.